Molecule: long non-coding RNA, 1004 nt
Organism: Cylas formicarius (sweet potato weevil)
Lineage: Eukaryota; Metazoa; Arthropoda; Insecta; Coleoptera; Brentidae
Exons: 3
Source: RefSeq, a predicted model, not a curated record
CGAGAACAUUAAGAAAUUUGGAAGUCACGCGUUAAGUUGUUGCCGAUUUGGAUAUUAUCGAUUAAAUUUAUUCAACACCAACAUGCCCCGUGGAUGUGGACCUUCUGGCUCUUGCGGGCCAUGUCGGCCUUCAAGAAAGUCCGUCCCGCCCAAAAAGAAAACUGCUAAAAAAACCUCCGACAAGAAGGCCGUUAAAGGAACGUCCAAAACUGCAAAAAGUACAAGAGGAAAGGUUUCAACAAAAAAAAAUGUGUGUAAAAGUGGAGGUUGCGACUAUUCCAGUUACAGUUCUGACUAUUCGAGCGACUGCAGCGACUGUUGCGAUUCGUACACAGACAGUACUAGCUACACCGAUUCUAGCGACGAUUGUUGCCCUCCUAAAAGGAAUGUUAAAUCCGGUGGCUGUUGCAGACGCUAAACAACCGCAAAAUUCGAUGGACCAACACUUGCUAUGUUUAUAUUUUUUGUUUUUAUAUUGUGUUUAUUCUGUAUGGUUUCGCGCUAAGCUUUUUUAAAAAUUUGUUUACAUUGUCUUGAACAUUAAAUUAAAUACAUUUUUUAAUACAUUUUACGAGGGUAGAUUUUUUAUUGGUAAGGUAUGCUUUGACGUAUCUUCCAUAGCUCCCUGCAAAUCAAAGACGCAAAAGAUAUAUAACUGACAAAAAUUAGGAAAAUUAAAUAGUAGAACACCUUGAAACAAAAUAUUAUUCAGUAAAAAAAUAAUUUUCAUUUUUCACGUUUCGUAUUGAGUCUGCAAGCAUCUUCAUUAUGCUCUCUAGUAUUCUGUGCUAUGAAAGCAGGAACUAUUUUAAUCUUCUUUAUUUCGUUUCAGGAAAUGGUCAAACUCCAUGCCAUAUUUUGAAGGUCUUUUUUUUUCUUUACGCUUUUUUUGGCUACUGUUUCAUGAGGCAAUUCGUCCACCUUAUAACCAAGGCACCCGGUGGGAAUCGAACCCACAACCUUUUGUCGAGUUCGUUAUUCAUCCUUACUUUUACGACGUUGAU